AGCGUAGGCGGUUCCUUAAGUCGAAUGUGAAAUCUUCUGGCUUAAUCAGAAGGCGUCAUUUGAUACUGAGGGACUUGAGAGCAGCAGAGGGAAAUGGAACCCCCAGUGUAGCGGUGAAAUGCGUAGAUAUUGGGGAGAACACCAGUGGCGAAGGCGAUUUCCCAGGUUGUUUCUGACGCUGAGGCUCGAAAGCGUGGGGAGCGAAGCGGAUUAGAUACCCGCGUAGUCCACGCCCUAAACGGUGGACACUAGAUAUAGGAGGUAUCGACCCUUUCUGUGUCGAAGCUAACGCUUUAAGUGUCCCGCCUGGGGAGUACGGCCGCAAGGCUGAA
This 332-nucleotide ribosomal RNA is filed under the name uncultured bacterium. RNAcentral describes it as "bacterial SSU rRNA". It matches the Rfam family "Bacterial small subunit ribosomal RNA", at positions 568 to 898 of the family's 1533-position model. The record is from RNAcentral.